UACAGAGGUGGCAAGCGUUGUUCGGAUUCAUUGGGCGUAAAGGGUGCGUAGGCGGCGCGGUAAGUCGGAUGUGAAAUCUCGGAGCUUAACUCCGAAACUGCAUUCGAUACUGCCGUGCUUGAGGACUGGAGAGGAGACUGGAAUUUACGGUGUAGCGGUGAAAUGCGUAGAUAUCGUAAGGAAGACCAGUGGCGAAGGCGGGUCUCUGGACAGUUCCUGACACUGAGACACGAAGGCCAGGGGAGCAAACGGG
Molecule: ribosomal RNA, 253 nt
Filed under: uncultured bacterium
Lineage: Bacteria
Description: partial 16S ribosomal RNA
Rfam family: Bacterial small subunit ribosomal RNA
Source: RNAcentral